CUUGAGUCUGUCAUGGCAGGUCCUGAAGUGAGGCCAGUGUGUCCAGUGUGUGCUUCAUGCCAUUAACAAAACUCGUCCUUGUCGUUAGAGAGGAGGCCCAGCCUCGUGAUGAGGAAUAGCAAGGAGAGAAUUCAGCUCCAGUUCAAAAGCCUACAAAAUCUGAGACUGUCACUGCUCGUGUAAGUUUUCUCUCUGAGCGACCAUAACCUAUCGGCUGAAAUUUCCGGCAUCCCUGGGGGAGAGGAGGCCAUCAGGGCAGACCUGCUAUGGACCUGAAAGAUUCAGCCCCAGGAUUCCAGCUUUCCCUCCUGGCCAGAAAUGUUCAGCCUGGACUCAUUCAGAAAAGCCGGGGAUUGAUUUGUUCGAGAGGCUUUUCAUCAGGAGUGACGUUGUUAGCAUUCAGUCUCAUGGGAGCCAACAUAGCCUCACUGUGCAAAAAUUCUGGAGCCAGAUGCCUGGUUCACAUCACACUUCUGCACCCUUGCUGACCAAGGCUGGAGGCAGGUGACUGGGCCGCUGUGCC
Molecule: long non-coding RNA, 523 nt
Filed under: Ursus maritimus (polar bear)
Lineage: Eukaryota; Metazoa; Chordata; Mammalia; Carnivora; Ursidae
Description: lncRNA (ENSUMAG00000002243.1)
Source: RNAcentral